UUAGGAAUUUUCCGCAAUGGACGAAAGUCUGACGGAGCAACGCCGCGUGAGUGAUGAAGGCCCUCGGGUUGUAAAGCUCUGUCGGAGGGGAAGAACACAUGACGGUACCCUCCAAGAAAGCCCCGGCUAACUACGUGCCAGCAGCCGCGGUAAUACGUAGGGGGCGAGCGUUAUCCGGAUUUACUGGGCGUAAAGCGCGUUAAGGCGGCUCGCUAAGUUGGGGGUGAAAUUUCAGGGCUCAACCCUGAAACUGCCUCCAAUACUGGCGAGCUUGAGUGCGAGAGAGGAAGGUGGAAUUCCCGGUGUAGUAGUGAAAUGCGUAGAUAUCGGGAGGAACACCAGUGGCGAAGGCGGCCUUCUGGCUCGCAACUGACGCUGUAGCGCGAAAGCGUGGGGAGCGAACGG
RNAcentral lists this ribosomal RNA (405 nucleotides) under uncultured bacterium. RNAcentral's name for it is "bacterial SSU rRNA". It matches the Rfam family "Bacterial small subunit ribosomal RNA", at positions 355 to 775 of the family's 1533-position model. The record is from RNAcentral.